UCAGUCGACUCCUACGGGAGGCAGCAGUGGGGAAUAUUGGACAAGUGGCGAAAGCCUGAUCCAGCAAUGCCGCGUGAGUGAUGAAGGCCUUAGGGGUUGUAAAGCUCUUUUACCCGGGAAGAUAAUGACUGUACCGGAGAAUAAGCCCCCGGCUAACUCCGUGCCAGCAGCCGCGGUAAUACGGAGGGGGGCUAGCGUUGUUCGGAAUUACUGGGCGUAAAGCGCACGUAGGCGGCUUUGUAAGUCAGAGGUGAAAGCCUGGAGCUCAACUCCAGAACUGCCUUUGAGACUGCAUCGCUUGAAUCCAGGAGAGGUGAGUGGAAUUCCGAGUGUAGAGGUGAAAAUUCGUAGAUAUUCGGAAGAACACCAGUGGCGAAGGCGGCUCACUGGACUGGUAUUGACGCUGAGGUGACGAAAGCGUGGGGAGCAAACAGGAUUAGAUACCCUGGUAG
RNAcentral lists this ribosomal RNA (452 nucleotides) under uncultured bacterium. RNAcentral describes it as "bacterial SSU rRNA". It matches the Rfam family "Bacterial small subunit ribosomal RNA", at positions 328 to 793 of the family's 1533-position model. The record is from RNAcentral.